CCUAUCCAGUCCGGGUUUUCCGGGGUGCCCCAUCCCGGCCCAUCCGGGUUCCUUUGGGUCGCUGCAUUCCCGGUGGGUUCGGGUUUUCCUCAUCCCGGUCCGCCUCAGGUUUAACGGGAGCGGCAGCGAGGCGUGCUCGGCCUGUGGGAGUCCACAGAGACGUGAGGCAGAUACGGCCUGGACCUGGAUUCUUGGAAAUUACAGAUAGACACAUCUCUGAAAAUGGCAUUUUUGAAUCAUCUAGAACUCAGAAGUACUGCUGUACUGGUUUAACCCCAGCUGGCAACCGAGCACUGAAUCAGAAGAGUCAGAGAGAACCUGUGGGUUGAGGUAUAGUUUAGCACACGAAGCAAAAGUUGUGCACACAAGCAAAGCAAAGCA
Molecule: long non-coding RNA, 381 nt
Organism: Motacilla alba alba
Lineage: Eukaryota; Metazoa; Chordata; Aves; Passeriformes; Motacillidae
Exons: 3
Source: RefSeq, a predicted model, not a curated record